This 370-nucleotide ribosomal RNA is filed under the name uncultured eukaryote. Its description in RNAcentral is "partial 18S ribosomal RNA". It matches the Rfam family "Eukaryotic small subunit ribosomal RNA", at positions 592 to 976 of the family's 1831-position model. The record is from RNAcentral.
CAAUAGCGUAUAUUAAAGUUGUUGCAGUUAAAAAGCUCGUAGUUGGAUUUCUGGUCGGAAGCUCCUGUCCUCUGAUGAGCGUACAAGUGCGUCCUACCAUCCUUCUGUUAACCUUUAAGGCUUUCGCGGCUUUCUAGGGGCUCAGAUAUUUUACCUUGAGAAAAUUAGAGUGUUUCAGGCAGGCUAGCGCCGGAAUACAUUAGCAUGGAAUAAUGGAAUAGGACUUUUGCCUCUUCUGUUGGUCAUGAGGCUCGAGUAAUGAUUAAUAGGGAUAGUUGGGGGCAUUAGCACUUAACUGUCAGAGGUGAAAUUCUCGGAUUUGUUAAAGACUAACUUAUGCGAAAGCAUUUGCCAAGGAUGUUUUCAUUAA